RNAcentral lists this long non-coding RNA (281 nucleotides) under Elaeis guineensis (African oil palm). RNAcentral's name for it is "long non-coding RNA (EGUI_LNC043229)". The record is from RNAcentral. Lineage: Eukaryota; Viridiplantae; Streptophyta; Magnoliopsida; Arecales; Arecaceae.
CGUCCUUAGUUCCACAUGCCCACCCCUAGGGUGAGAGAGAGAGAGAGUUCAGAGAAAGAGAGAAGUAGAAGGGAGAGAAAGAGUUCUCUCACUACAUCUCUUGUUCCUCUGAUUCUAUCCGAAAGGUGUUCAUGCAUAGAUCUUUAGAUCAUCUUCUACGAGAAUCGAAAAAGGAGAUCCAACUUGAAGAGGUGAGAUCUGAAAGAGUACUAACAUCUCGAUGAUUUUGAAGGCUUUUGAUCUACAUUAGCCCUAUGUGGAUACAUGUAGAGAUCAGACGC